UGAUGGCUGUUCAUUUCACUGCUUAGAGUCUUAGGUGGUGGGAUUUUAGUCCAUCAUAUAUCUAAGCUGACUUGUCUUCACUCAGGGUACCACGGGGAUGGGUUGGUUGGCUGUCCGUUAGUGCCUUCUGAUUUUUGCGGAGUCAAACAAUU
Molecule: small nucleolar RNA, 152 nt
Organism: Balaenoptera musculus (blue whale)
Lineage: Eukaryota; Metazoa; Chordata; Mammalia; Artiodactyla; Balaenopteridae
Source: Ensembl